Non-coding RNA from Paramuricea clavata, 88 nucleotides. The record is from the annotation of a GenBank genome assembly. NCBI's taxonomy places the organism in Eukaryota, Metazoa, Cnidaria, Anthozoa, Malacalcyonacea, Plexauridae.
ACGCACUUCGGCCUGGCCUAGCCAGGAAAUCUGGUCCACCUGUUCUGAUGGGCCCCGAUUUCCUGGCCUAGACCAGGCCGAAGUGCGU